Erinaceus europaeus (western European hedgehog) is the source of this 102-nucleotide non-coding RNA. The record is from Rfam. NCBI's taxonomy places the organism in Eukaryota, Metazoa, Chordata, Mammalia, Eulipotyphla, Erinaceidae.
CUGCUCCCUUCUGCAGCACAUAUGCUAAAAUUGGAAUAAUACAGAGAAGAUUAGCAUGACCCAGGCACAAGAAGCUGAAACUUCCAAAAGUCUUGGAUUUUU